UCACCUACGGGGGGCAGCAGUAGGGAAUCUUCCACAAUGGACGAAAGUCUGAUGGAGCAACGCCGCGUGAGUGAAGAAGGGUUUCGGCUCGUAAAGCUCUGUUGGUAGUGAAGAAAGAUAGAGGUAGUAACUGGCCUUUAUUUGACGGUAAUUACUUAGAAAGUCACGGCUAACUACGUGCCAGCAGCCGCGGUAAUACGGAGGUGGCAAGGGUUGGCCGGAUUUUUUGGGCGUAAAGCG
This 240-nucleotide ribosomal RNA is filed under the name uncultured bacterium. Its description in RNAcentral is "partial 16S ribosomal RNA". It matches the Rfam family "Bacterial small subunit ribosomal RNA", at positions 335 to 567 of the family's 1533-position model. The record is from RNAcentral.